Molecule: RNA transcript, 2337 nt
Organism: Parus major (Great Tit)
Lineage: Eukaryota; Metazoa; Chordata; Aves; Passeriformes; Paridae
Gene: GRB14
Gene name: growth factor receptor bound protein 14
Exons: 16
Source: RefSeq, a predicted model, not a curated record
UGGAUGAAGGUUGGCAAGUUCUGUGAAAAGCAGACAUGAGUUUGUCUUCCAGAAGAGUAACAUUGCCUGCAGUUAUGCCAAUAACUCUGCAGAAAAGGGUAAUCAAAGUGUAUAGUGAAGAUGAUACUAGCAGAGCUUUGGAAGUACCCAGUGAUAUAACAGCCAGGGAUGUGUGUCAGCUCUUGAUAUUGAAGAACCACUAUGUUGAUGACCACAGCUGGACUCUCUUUGAACAACUUACCCACACAGGUUUAGGAAGAGCUAUAGAAGACCAUGAAUUAGUGAUGGAAGUUCAGUCAAAUUGGGUAAUGGAAGAGGAAACCAAACUGUAUUUUAGAAAAAAUUAUGCAAAAUAUGAGUUUUUUAAAAAUCCUCUGAGCUUUUUUCCUGAUCAUAUGAUAUCUUUUCCAAGUGAGACCAAUGCAGCUCUAAGCCACUCUGGAAUAUUACAGAUGUUUCUUAGCUCCAGCACAUAUCCUGAGAUUCAUGGUUAUUUGUAUGCAAAGGAGCAGGGGAAAAAAUCAUGGAAAAAAUUGUACUUUCUUUUGAGAAGAUCUGGCCUUUAUUUUUCCACUAAAGGUACAUCUAAGGAGCCAAGGCAUCUGCAGUUUUUCUGUGAAUUCAGCAAUAGUGAUAUGUACAUGUCUUUAACAGGCAAAAAGAUUUCUGGAGCACCAACAAACUAUGGAUUCUGCUUUAAGCCUAACAAAUCAGGAGGAACCAGAGACCUGAAACAGCUCUGUGCAGAUGAUGAACAAAGUAGGACCUGUUGGAUGACAGCAAUUAGGUUACUCAAGUAUGGGAUGCAGCUGUAUCAGAAUUACAUGCAACCAUAUCAAGGUAGAAGUGGCUGCAGCCCUUUGAAUAUAACACCUAUGAGAAGCAUUUCAGAAAAUUCUUUAGUAGCAAUGGAUUUCUCAGGACACAGAAGCAGAAUUAUAGAAAAUCCAACAGAGGCCCUUUCAGUUGCAGUUGAAGAAGGAUUAGCAUGGCGGAGGAGAGGGUGUCUCCGACUCAACUCUCAUGGUAGUCCUAUUGCCAUGUCUAACAUGGCUAUACACAGAUCUCAGUCAUGGUUCCAUCAUAAAAUCUCUAGAGAAGAGGCUCAGAGACUCAUUUUGCAGCAUGGACUUGUAGAUGGGGUAUUCCUGGUACGUGAUAGCCAAAGUAACCCCAAAACAUUUGUAUUGUCACUGAGUCAUGGAUUAAAAAUAAAACAUUUUCAAAUUGUACCGGUCUUCUUCAGGGGAACUACAACAAAAAAAAAAAAAAAAAAAAGAUUUUUUAGUCCAGCUGCUUUAUAGGUUGCUUCAGGUUAUGCUGCACUUAAAAAUGUCUCCUUUUAGAUAGGGUAUGCAGCCUGCUAGUUCAUGCCUCACCCAUGUAAACAGGUGCCUCAUGUUAACAUUGGUAACCUGUGCAACAGGUAUUGCAGGUUCUUGGCUGGAGCACAGGAAUUUACACAUUCUCACAUUGGUAAUUCCUUAACUAGCAGUGUUUGACUGGUUUGACCAAAGUCUGAGAAUAAAGAAAUUGCAAACUACUUCCAGUCAUGGUAGAAAGGGGUAGAAUAACUAGGAGUCAUAAGCAGUUCAGCAGCUGCUUCAGAUAAAACAUCUUAAUUACAGUUGGAAGAUGAUGGGAAGCUAUUCUAUACCCUUGAUGAUGGUCAUACCAGAUUUACUGAUCUCAUCCAGCUAGUGGAAUUCUAUCAACUUAAUAAAGGAGUACUACCUUGCAAGUUAAAACACUAUUGUGCACGGAUUGCUCUUUAACCAAAGUAUUUGUUGUUUCAUUAGAGGGAUGGGAAGAUACUAGUACACUUUUACCUCCUAAAGGCAAUUUGUAUAGCAAAAAGGGGGAAAAACACAUUACAUUGUAAAGAUUCUAUGUUUAAGCUGAAAAAAAAUAAAAAAAAUGAUAUCCUAUGUAGAUAAGAACUUUGCUUUGUGAUUGUCACAGCAAAAUUAACUUUAUGGUUUUGAAAAACCGUUCUUUCUGAUGUAAUUCUUUAGUGUUGUCUUGAACUUUCUGGGUUUUUUUUUCAACUGAAAAGAGUUUUGAAAAAUACUGUGUAACUCCUACAAAAAUAUAACUGAAGGAAAAUCUUUGUUCUUAGCUUUAAAAUUAACUUUUUUUCUCUAUACAUGUUUCUCAUAAUUUCUGUUCAUCACAUAAAAGAAUAAUGUUUACUGUGGCAAGGAUAAAAAGCUGAACUACACAUUUUAUUUGUAAAUAAAAUGAAUAAAUAUUUUGCACUAUAUUUUUGAAUGCAACUUUGAGGAUUAUCGUAUCCAAAAAGUGAAAAGUCAUUAAAACCACUUAUAACUGCUCAGU